GGUUCUUUAAUAAGAAAAAAAUAUUGCCUCUCAUAUAACACAAUGAUCGUAUAUGCAAAAGAAAGAAACUAUGGCUGCACAUAGAUCGGAUAAUAUCCGCAUAUUCGCGGUAAUUAUUCGCAUUCGAUGUAAAUUUUGCAGAUAUUAUCCGAUCCACAGAGUCAUCAGAUCGGAUCAGAUUCGAUUCGCACUAUGGUAGAAUCGGAUUGCGGAUUUGGCAGUGAUAUUUGCGGAUUCGAUCUGCAAAUCCGCAUAUCCGCAUAUCCGCAUAUCUCAUAUAAAUAGCAUAGUUUAACAAAGUAAACCCUAAUGUGAUAUGAAUUUUCACUACAAGAGAGGCGGUAGAUAGCAGCGGCUAUUUAGCGGUGGUUGGUUGAGCCGCUGCUAUCUCUCCAUUUUGUGGCAGCUGUAGCGGCCAAUCUGGUGAACGCUGCCAAUCUGUUUGAAACGCCCCCUGCCGCUCUGCCCUUCAGUCUCAUUAUCUUUUCUUUCUCAAGACAAACCAAACUUAACCCUAACCCAUCUUUCAACCUCAAACCUUCAGAUCCUACCAAACUCAGGUUUCUUCUUCUUCUUCUUCUUCUUCCACCUUCGCCGAACAACCAUCACAAAAACCCUUUUUUCUCUUUCUCUUCCCUUGUCUUCUGCCUUCUCUGUCUUGCCGCCGGCUACCAUCCAGUGCCGCCGCGACCAUCUUCUUCCCCUCCUCACAACCUUGCACUGUGGCUCUCUAGCUCGCCCCUGCCUCCCUCAUUCCCAGUAGCAGAAUCAGAAUAUAGCCACUCUUGUUCCAGCGAGUUCAGAUGCUGCAGUGGCUGGUCACUGCCACUGCAUCCCUCUCUCCUGAAUUCUUGCUCUAUUCUUCGACUCAGAGCUAUGAUGAUAAAGGGUCUGUCAUAGAUGUUAUUGUUUGGCAUGAUGGAGAGGUCUAGAAGGUUGCUCUUAACACAUAAAGUAUUGAGGAUGAUCUAGAAUGUGGGAAGCUUGCUAACUUUGUACCCUUAACUAAUUACAGGUACAUUUGGUUGCUAGUGUUUUCUUCACUUUCCAUUCAAAUUUUCUGAGCAUCACUCUUCUCUGCAUGCUUCCAUUUGGAUUAAGUUAAAGGGUACUUCAUUUUGACCCUUUGUCUAUAUAUGCUAUACCUGCAUGCAAAUGGGCGUUGAAUUCUUUGGAUAUGCAUGGAAAUAAUUGUCAAGGUUUGAGCUGAUAUUAAAUGAAGUUUUGUAGUUGACUGAUCUAUAAAUAGGUUAUUGUUUUCCAUGGAGAUUGUGACAACUGCAGCUGAAUUUGGGAUAAAGCUAAACACUACCACAGUUGAAGAAUCUGAACAAAUAAAAACAAAACUGGUUUACAACCCAGAGCUGAAUUUUGUGUGGUCCAGGACAUGAAAUUAAGUAUCAUUUAAUCUUCAAAGCAGCAUUUAAUUCAAAUUCGUGUCACUGUUUUUAGUUGCUAGCUUAAAAUGUUUAUAUUUUUAGGCUCAGAUUUUCAGUUUAUUCGCUUAUAAUCUUAUAUUUUAAAUUGUUAUCAAUUUAUUUCCAUGUGACAGUUUUAUUAGUGUAAAACUUCAUGUCACUUUAACAAGCUAAUUAAUUGACAUUUUAACCUUUUUUAAUUUUUAUUUAUUACCCAAAAAUCUAAACUUUUUCAGCAUUAGAAGCUUUGGGGAAGACAAUUCAACUGGCAUAGUGAUGAAAGUGAUUUAGAUACAGCAAUUAUUAAGGAUACUACUAAUGGUGUCAGGAUUAAGACUUAACAGGUGCACAUGAGUCCCAUAGCAGUAGAUUAGAUCAUCUUCAAAGUUCUGUACCUCAGGACAACCAUGUUGAUUUUAUGCUGCCUGAAAUCUCACUUAUUGGUGCUCCGCAGCCCUUUCUUCCUCUUCUUACACCUUCACCGUUGGCUCCAUUCACAAAUACCUCUAUUCCAUAGUUAUUAGGACUCUGUGUUUUGAACUUCACAGCUGCUGAAUGGGACCACUGCCAGGCACUGCCUUUCGGAUGUGGAGCAGAUUUUGAUGGGCCAAGGUGCCAGUGCUAAUCUGAGGCAGAUAUGUUCAAUUCGUACUUCAAAUUUCACUGAGGCAUCUUGCCCAGUGAAAAAUGUGGAUGAGUUUCAUGACAUAGUGGAUACUUCUAAACUCCUUAUCUGCCUGUGAGAAAGUUGAUCCAGUGAAAGAAUGUUGCUACCAAGUUUGUCAGAAUGCUAUAUUGGAAGCUGCAACAACAAUUGCUUCAAAAGUUCCUGAUCUUAUGGGCAUAGAUGCAAUGCGUGUUCAAACUGAGAACUCAAGUCGGAUCAGUGAUUGUAAGAAUAUUGUCCUUCGGUGGGUAGCUAGCAAGCUCGAACCUUUUCAAGCAAAGAAAGUUCUCAGACGGCUGUCUAAUUGCCAUGCUAACAAAGGUCUUUUUUUUUUUGCUUAGCGAAAAAUUUUAAUAGUGAUGGUCAUCAAACGAUAAGUUUAGCUGGCUCUAGGUGAUUUUCAGUCAGUCUAUGUUAUAUACAUAUGGGUUGAUACUUCGUUCCCGACAUGAAGCAUGUUUCCAAGGGUUGUGGGGAUGGGAUAAGUAACAAGACAGCCUGCUGUCAUGAAAUGGAAAGCCAUGUGUCUCACUUGCAAAAGCAGAGCUUCAUCAAAAACCACUGCUAGUCAUAUUUUUUUU
Molecule: non-coding RNA, 2666 nt
Organism: Arachis ipaensis
Lineage: Eukaryota; Viridiplantae; Streptophyta; Magnoliopsida; Fabales; Fabaceae
Source: RefSeq, a predicted model, not a curated record